UAUAUAUCAUAGAAUCUAAUUGUUGGUCGAGACUACUACAAUCAGGUACCAAAAUAGCAGUUUUUGUGAUAUCCAGAUGGAUAGAGUGUAUUGGGAAGGCCUCCACAUCAAUGGGCUGUUUACUUCGGGGCAUAUAUCUUAAGGCUUACACAUUCAUCCAAGAAUUUAUUUUCCUCGGCCUUUCUCAUUUUAAUUUAGUUAAGUUACAUUUUACCCUUUAAUUAAUUUGUCGGGAAAAAAUUAAAAUGAGAAUGUUUAUCAUAGUGGAAUAAUUCUUCUGCUGUUGGCAAGAAAAGUCAAGACUUAUUGGGCAGUCACCUGUGGAACAACAUAAACUUAUUGGAUUUUAAAAUUUAUAUGCACUAUACACUGUAGACUUGUAAUAGAGGUAUAUACCUAAAUGGGCCUAAGAAAUUGUUACAUAACUUACAUUAUAAACAUCAAAGAGAAGAUUAAUGAGUAAGCAAUGUAGAAGUUGAAG
RNAcentral lists this small RNA (481 nucleotides) under Arabidopsis thaliana (thale cress). RNAcentral describes it as "putative long intergenic non-coding RNA". Lineage: Eukaryota; Viridiplantae; Streptophyta; Magnoliopsida; Brassicales; Brassicaceae. The record is from RNAcentral.